CCGGGUGGCUAUGGCGAGGGUGAACCACCCGAUCCCAUCCCGAACUCGACCGUGAAACCCCUCAGCGCCAAUGGUACUGCGUCUUAAGACGUGGGAGAGUAGGUCGCCGCCCGGU
RNAcentral lists this ribosomal RNA (115 nucleotides) under Rhodospirillales bacterium. Lineage: Bacteria; Pseudomonadati; Pseudomonadota; Alphaproteobacteria; Rhodospirillales. The record is from RNAcentral.